AAACCAAAAGACUAAUAGCUGAUAAAUUUCUCAAAGGAGAGAUAAACGUGCCAGUUCUUUACUUACUGCUGGUCUGGGCCAGGUCCUUGCAUGCACGAUUUUGUCCAGUUUAAUGCUUACAGCAACCUUCCAUCCCCACUCAGUAAACAAAUAGCAAAAACGGAAGCUCAGAGAGUUUACUGUCUGGUCAGAGACAUUAAAUGUCAUGGUGGAGACAAAAUUUGAAAUCAGAUAUUAUUAUAUCAAGUCCCAUGCUCUUUCUACCAUACAGCACACACCUGCAAGUAAAUAAGCACAUAUUCAGGCAUUCAGGAAAAGCAUAUUCUGCAUCUUCAGGGUGUGUGUGUGAACAUGUGUGUUUGCCAGCCAUCGUUGGAGAUUUUCCGUUGAACCGUUGUAUAAAUGGGGGUGGUUUGCUCAGGAGCAGCCCUGCCAGAGUCACAGGAAAUCCCGCCUGAGGUGUCAGCAGAGAAGACACCAAACAUACAUCCAGAGAAGCCCGGACCAGUUUGGUUUGCUAAGACAGAGGCUGCUCGGCCAAGGGGAGAACACAUGCUCCAGCUGUUGUCUGCAACUGGUUUUCAGCUGGAAUGUUGUUAAAUGAAAUGAUCUGCCCUCUAAACAUGUGUGUUUUCAAUUAAUCUCCUUUCCAAGCAGAACAUGUCAUCUCCAAGGGAUGAUAAAUCACAGGGAAAUCCAAAGAGAGGUGUUGCUGUGGCCCCUCUCUGCCACUCUCAGGGGCUGUCACGCAGGGAGGCUGGACUCUGACGGUGCCCCCUGGUUGGGUCAGUGCUGUGGUGACAGGACAAUGGCCAGAGCUGCCCUCUGUGGCAGGUAACAAGCCUCCUGCUCAUAGGGAGACAAAGUUCCUGGGAGCUUGAGGACAGGUGUGCAGCCUUGCUUGCUGUCUACCCUGGUUCUCAGAGCACUUUCCAAAGAGCUUCCAUGGUGACGUCAUCAGGUCCCAAGUGGGGAAACGGAGGUAAGCUGUAACCCAGCACCUGGCCCGAGAGCAGCCUCUGGCUCUUGAGGUUAUGGCUAAUCCUCCCCACAGCCUGGACACUGCUGUGCCGCUCCGUCUUACGCAGGAGGAGACCAGCGCGGCAGGACCUGGUUACCUGCCCAAGGUCAUACAAGCUGAAAGUGGCCAAGCCAAGAUUUGAACCAGGUUUAUCUGGGUCCAAAGCCAUUGCUUCUGGGAGCCGAGUGAGAGAGCCGGGUCUGUGAUGCUGUGGUGAGUUCACUUGCAAUAUAAUCAUAUUCUGUGGAUGUGUGGGUUUUGCGUGUGUGUGUGUGUGGUAUGUUGUGUGGUGUGUGUGUGUGUAUAUUUAUGGUAUGUACAUGUUAUGUGUGGCAUGAUGUGGAUGUGUUGUGUGGCAUGUGUGUUGUAUGUGGGGUGUGUAUAUGGUGUGGGGUAUAUGUGUAUGUAUGCAUGGUGUGGGCAGGUUAUGUGUAUGGUGUGUAUGUAUGUGUGGUGUAUGGUAUGGUGUUGUGUGGUGGGUGUGGGUGUGUGUGGGUGUGGGGUGGUGUGGGUGUGUGUUGUGGGUGUGGUGUGGUCUGCGCUCCUGGUGGGAGAUAGUGCCAGUCUAACCAGAGAGCAGUAAGGGGGGCUUGGGGACCAGCACCCAUGGGUGCUGACCAUCAACCAUCCAAAUCUCCCCUGGAGCUGGUCGCCCAGAACUCAGUGCCAAGAGACACUGGUUGGUGGCACCCAGAAACCAGAGGUAACACCCUCACCCCAGGCGGCACCCCCACCCCAGCGAGCAAACCCAUGAUAUAAAAUCGAGUGUGCAUGUGCCUCUGGCAGAAACGGGCCGACCGCAGCCUCUGAGCUGGGCGUGGUGGGUGUUGGCAGCCCAGCAGCGGUGAGCAGUGGUGACAGGAUGACUCGUUUCCCUGGCAACAUAGUGGAGACCGUUCCACAAAUACCAGCCAGUGGGCACCACAGCGGGGCUGUCAGGAGGACUGAGGUCUAAGAUCCCAGUCUGCCCAGCUGCCGCCGGAAGCCCACCUCCUUGGAGCUCCUAGGGCCUGGCCUCCUGCUCAGGCGACGUCCUCUGUCCACUUGGUGCUGUAUCUACUUAUUCUUUCAUUCAGCAAAUCCCUUACACCCCUGUACACAGCUUUGUGCACCUUUGUGCACUCUGCCAGGCCUGUCCUUUCUCCUCCAGCUUGUGAACUCCUCCAACCUUAACAUCCACUUCGAAUAUCCCCUUGUACAGUCACAUGGUCAUGCCGAGGGAAGCUUAGGGCAAUCGAUGGAAACGAUAAGCUUUCUCCAAAAGGCUUCAAGAGAAAUGAGCGCCCAUGUGCACCUGUUCUCAUCCGGUUCAUUCAGACCAAACCAGGGCUCAUCACUGUGACAUUUAGAAUACUGUGGACCCACAGAAGAUCCUACAAGCUUCCAAAAGCGAGGAACGAGAAUGAAUUUGACUUCUUACAGCAACUCUAGAAGCUGGAAGACAGGAGAGCAACAGCUACAAACUCCAAGGUACAGUGAUUUACGACUUAGAAUCCCAUAGAGAAACUUCGGCAAAUGAGAGGUUAGAACAAGGAUGUUUCCAGAUAUGCAAGGACUCAAAAUACUUAGCUGGAAUGACUCCCUUCUCAGAAACCUCUACGAAUGUGCUCCCUUAGAAGGAGGGAGUAAUCCAAGAAAGAAGAGGCCAGCAGACCCAGGAAACAGACAACCCGACACGGAAGAGCAGCAGAGGAAAGUUUCCAGAAGAGGUGAAGACAGACGCCGGGCAACUGCUGAGCUCAGGACGUGGGGCGACAGGUCCGCCCAGAUCAGGGCAGGUGAGAAAGCACCGGAGAGAGACUUCAGGAGGAUGAAACUGACAGACCCCUGAUGCAUCUGAGUGUCUUGGGAGGAUGUUUAGACAACUAGUGAAAGGCCUGGAGUGGAAUGAGUGAUAAAUACGCAGAAAAUCAGACUAUCAAAUGAGACGAUGAUUAGCUUCAGGGAUAGCAAAAGUCUGAAGAGAAGGAAAAGGAGUCAUAAUUUACCACAUAUUUUAGCUAUAGAAAGUGUUUCCAUGGCUUAAUAACGUAGAGUGACUUGAUCUAACCAAAAUUACGUCCCAAUUCAGUAGAGAUGAAGCUGUGCGGGAAGCAGAGGUGGAGAGUGAGCUGUUUCCAUCUGCCACAGUGGGAACUCAGUGGAGAGGCUCACACUGAGAAAUUUGAACGUGGUCGUGCAAGCAUGUUCUCUAGCGAUGUAGAGGCCACCCCCAAAUAACUGGGGAAAUAACACGGGAGUGGCUACUUCAGGGCGGGAAACACGGGUGAGAGGGGGCAGGGGUGCCCUAUUGUGUUUUCACAACAGACCUUCUAGAGCUCUUUGACUCCUCAAUAGAUACAGUGCAUAAAACUGAAAGCAAAGGAGAGAAGAAAGGGGCAUAGCCGACUUCCAUCUUUGCUCUAAUCAGCGAUGGCCUUCUACGUGGAAAGCACUGGGGCGGCACUGACGGGCAGGUUGACUGGAACCUACUUUUGGAGGCUGAGUUGCCAAAACACGGGCUUCCUGGAGGCAGCCACCAGCUCAGAGGCCCAGAACAACGAGAAUCCAGAAGGCUCUUGAGUGGGGCCCUUGACCGUGAUGAGCAUGGGAGGGGAGUGGUCCGCCCCCGUGGAGAGCAGUGGACCACUUCAGCGGGGCUUCAAGGUGGAAGGCGCUCACCACACAUCCAAUGCAGUUCCCAGCUCCACCCCACCCCUG
Equus caballus (horse) is the source of this 3721-nucleotide long non-coding RNA. Lineage: Eukaryota; Metazoa; Chordata; Mammalia; Perissodactyla; Equidae. The record is from Ensembl.